Molecule: ribosomal RNA, 467 nt
Filed under: uncultured bacterium
Lineage: Bacteria
Description: partial 16S ribosomal RNA
Rfam family: Bacterial small subunit ribosomal RNA
Source: RNAcentral
GACGAACGCUGGCGGUGUGCUUAACAUAUGCAAGUCGAACGGAAAGGCCCUGCUUUUGUGGGGUGCUCGAGUGGCGAACGGGUGAGUAACACGUGAGUAACCUGCCCUUGACUUUGGGAUAACUUCAGGAAACUGGGGCUAAUACCGGAUAGGAGCUCCUGCUGCAUGGUGGGGGUUGGAAAGUUUCGGCGGUUGGGGAUGGACUCGCGGCUUAUCAGCUUGUUGGUGGGGUAGUGGCUUACCAAGGCUUUGACGGGUAGCCGGCCUGAGAGGGUGACCGGCCACAUUGGGACUGAGAUACGGCCCAGACUCCUACGGGAGGCAGCAGUGGGGAAUAUUGCACAAUGGGCGGAAGCCUGAUGCAGCAACGCCGCGUGCGGGAUGACGGCCUUCGGGUUGUAAACCGCUUUCGCCUGUGACGAAGCGUGAGUGACGGGAAUGGGUAAAGAAGCACCGGCUAACUACGU